UACGUAGGUGGCAAGCGUUGUCCGGAAUUAUUGGGCGUAAAGCGCGCGCAGGCGGUCCUUUAAGUCUGAUGUGAAAGCCCACGGCUCAACCGUGGAGGGUCAUUGGAAACUGGGGGACUUGAGUGCAGGAGAGAAGAGUGGAAUUCCACGUGUAGCGGUGAAAUGCGUAGAGAUGUGGAGGAACACCAGUGGCGAAGGCGACUCUUUGGCCUGGAACUGACGCUGAGGCGCGAAAGCGUGGGGAGCAAACAGG
RNAcentral lists this ribosomal RNA (253 nucleotides) under uncultured bacterium. Its description in RNAcentral is "partial 16S ribosomal RNA". It matches the Rfam family "Bacterial small subunit ribosomal RNA", at positions 524 to 776 of the family's 1533-position model. The record is from RNAcentral.